RNAcentral lists this ribosomal RNA (501 nucleotides) under uncultured bacterium. RNAcentral's name for it is "partial 16S ribosomal RNA". It matches the Rfam family "Bacterial small subunit ribosomal RNA", at positions 30 to 523 of the family's 1533-position model. The record is from RNAcentral.
ACUGAACGCUGGCGGCAUGCCUUACACAUGCAAGUCGAACGGCAGCACGGGUGCUUGCACCUGGUGGCGAGUGGCGAACGGGUGAGUAAUACAUCGGAACGUACCUUAUCGUGGGGGAUAACGCAGCGAAAGCUGUGCUAAUACCGCAUACGCCCUGAGGGGGAAAGCGGGGGAUCGAAAGACCUCGCGCGAUUAGAGCGGCCGAUGCCUGAUUAGCUUGCUGGUGGGGUAAGAGCCCACCAAGGCGACGAUCAGUAGCUGGUCUGAGAGGACGAUCAGCCACACUGGGACUGAGACACGGCCCAGACUCCUACGGGAGGCAGCAGUGGGGAAUUUUGGACAAUGGGGGCAACCCUGAUCCAGCAAUGCCGCGUGAGUGAAGAAGGCCUUCGGGUUGUAAAGCUCUUUUGUCAGGGAAGAAACACCGGCUCUAACACAGUCCGGGAAUGACGGUACCUGAAGAAUAAGCACCGGCUAACUACGUGCCAGCCGCCGCAGUAA